Cavia porcellus (domestic guinea pig) is the source of this 276-nucleotide non-coding RNA. NCBI's taxonomy places the organism in Eukaryota, Metazoa, Chordata, Mammalia, Rodentia, Caviidae. The record is from Rfam.
GGACGUGAGGGCGAUGUGGCUGUGACAGGGUCAAUCCGGAAGAUCCGGCUGACUCUGCAGGUGUCCCCGCCCUCCCUCACCAUGCAUGUGCGUCCCUCCUGGGUAGAAGGUGACCACGCCCCAUCGAGGAGGACCAUUCUACCGUCAGGAGUCAGGAGUGUACGAGCUGCUGUGCUCCCUGCUAGAGCCUCCGAACAAGCUCUCAAAAAAUAUGCAUUGAAGGGCCAGGGAUAUAGCUCAGCAGCAUAGCACCUGCCUGGCAAACACGAGGCCCUG